CGAACACUGGUGCCUACCCGGGCUCUUCGGUGGGGCUAAUGGCGGACUCUGGGAGUGCUCACACCAAGGAGCACUUCCCAGUUCUUCUGCUGCCAGUGUCCUUGUCCUCACUUUGAGACAGAGCCAUGCCCUGCCUCUGCAAGAGACCCUCCAACAUUAACAGAUGUAGACUUAUAAUAUCUUUCAAUGAGCUUGCAAGAAUAACUCUUUGAUGGGACUUCCCUGGUGGUGCAGUGGUUAAGAAUCCGCCUGCCAAUGCAGGAGACACAGGUUGGAGUCCUGGUCCGGGGAGAUCCCACACGCUACGGAGCAACAAAGCCCAUGCACCACAAUUACGGAGCCUGUGCUCUAGAACCGCGAGCCACAACUACUGAAGCCCACGUGCCUAGAGCCCAUGCUCCGCAACAAGGGAAGCCACCACGAGAAGCCCGUGCACCCCAACAAAGAGUAACCCCUGCUCGCUGCAACUAGAGAAAGCCCGCAUGCAGCAACGAAGACCCAGUGCAGCCAUAAAUAAAUAAAUAAAAGAUUAAUUGUAAAAAAAACACUUUGCAUAGUUGGUGGAUGAAAAUGAAAAAUAGGAUUCAGUAAUGCAUUUUUGGUGCAUUUGGUACUAUGUAACUUUGUGAAUAUCUUCUUCGGCUAUGAUGACAAUUAAAACCUAUUUUCAAAAGACGGUGAAGUUAGAAACAUACUUGUGAAUCUUUGCAUCACAAAUUAUUAACCAAUAAUUUAAAAAAACAGUGACAUUUAUUCAAUUAUAGGGAGAACAAAAAUGAUUUUGUACCUUUAAGAAAGCAAAUAAAAAUUUAAAGUAGUCA
This is a long non-coding RNA of Orcinus orca (killer whale), 821 nucleotides long. RefSeq lists it as uncharacterized. The transcript has 2 exons. The record is from RefSeq and is a predicted model, not a curated record. Lineage: Eukaryota; Metazoa; Chordata; Mammalia; Artiodactyla; Delphinidae.